CAGUAGCCGCGGGAAUACGGAGGGUGCAAGCGUUAAUCGGAAUUACUGGGCGUAAAGCGUACGCAGGCGGUUUGUUAAGUCAGAUGUGAAAUCCCCGAGCUUAACUCGGGAACUGCAUUUGAAACUGGCAGGCUAGAGUCUCGUAGAGGGGGGUAGAAUUCCAGGUGUAGCGGUGAAAUGCGUAGAGAUCUGGAGGAAUACCGGUGGCGAAGGCGGCCCCCUGGGCGAAGACUGACGCUCAGGUACGAAAGCGUGGGGAGCAAACAGGAUUAGAUACCCCUGUAGUCCCUGUCUCUUAUAC
This 301-nucleotide ribosomal RNA is filed under the name uncultured bacterium. RNAcentral's name for it is "partial 16S ribosomal RNA". It matches the Rfam family "Bacterial small subunit ribosomal RNA", at positions 509 to 807 of the family's 1533-position model. The record is from RNAcentral.